AACGAACGCUGGCGGCAUGCCUAACACAUGCAAGUCGAACGAGACCUUCGGGUCUAGUGGCGCACGGGUGCGUAACGCGUGGGAAUCUGCCCUUGGGUUCGGAAUAACAGUUGGAAGCGACUGCUAAUACCGGAUGAUGACGUAAGUCCAAAGAUUUAUCGCCCAAGGAUGAGCCCGCGUAGGAUUAGCUAGUUGGUGAGGUAAAGGCUCACCAAGGCGACGAUCCUUAGCUGGUCUGAGAGGAUGAUCAGCCACACUGGGACUGAGACACGGCCCAGACUCCUACGGGAGGCAGCAGUGGGGAAUAUUGGACAAUGGGCGAAAGCCUGAUCCAGCAAUGCCGCGUGAGUGAUGAAGGCCUUAGGGUUGUAAAGCUCUUUUACCCGGGAUGAUAAUGACAGUACCGGGAGAAUAAGCUCCGGCUAACUCCGUG
RNAcentral lists this ribosomal RNA (433 nucleotides) under uncultured bacterium. Its description in RNAcentral is "partial 16S ribosomal RNA". It matches the Rfam family "Bacterial small subunit ribosomal RNA", at positions 29 to 507 of the family's 1533-position model. The record is from RNAcentral.